This 492-nucleotide ribosomal RNA is filed under the name uncultured bacterium. RNAcentral describes it as "partial 16S ribosomal RNA". It matches the Rfam family "Bacterial small subunit ribosomal RNA", at positions 29 to 507 of the family's 1533-position model. The record is from RNAcentral.
AGUGAACGCUGGCGGUAGGCCUAACACAUGCAAGUCGAACGGCAGCACAGUAAGAGCUUGCUCUUACGGGUGGCGAGUGGCGGACGGGUGAGGAAUACAUCGGAAUCUACUUUUUCGUGGGGGAUAACGUAGGGAAACUUACGCUAAUACCGCAUACGACCUACGGGUGAAAGCAGGGGAUCUUCGGACCUUGCGCGAUUGAAUGAGCCGAUGUCGGAUUAGCUAGUUGGCGGGGUAAAGGCCCACCAAGGCGACGAUCCGUAGCUGGUCUGAGAGGAUGAUCAGCCACACUGGAACUGAGACACGGUCCAGACUCCUACGGGAGGCAGCAGUGGGGAAGAUUGGACAAUGGGCGCAAGCCUGAUCCAGCCAUACCGCGUGGGUGAAGAAGGCCUUCGGGUUGUAAAGCCCUUUUGUUGGGAAAGAAAAGCAGCCGGCUAAUACCUGGUUGGGCUGACGGUACCCAAAGAAUAAGCACCGGCUAACUUCGUG